This 253-nucleotide ribosomal RNA is filed under the name uncultured bacterium. Its description in RNAcentral is "partial 16S ribosomal RNA". It matches the Rfam family "Bacterial small subunit ribosomal RNA", at positions 524 to 776 of the family's 1533-position model. The record is from RNAcentral.
UACAGAGGGUGCGAGCGUUGUCCGGAAUCACUGGGCGUAAAGGGCGCGUAGGUGGCGACCCAAGUCGAUGGUGAAAGCUCGCCGCUCAACGGCGAGUCGGCCACCGAUACUGGGUUGCUCGAGCACUGUAGAGGCUAAUGGAAUUCCGGGUGUAGCGGUGGAAUGCGUAGAGAUCCGGAAGAACACCGGUGGCGAAGGCGGGUCUCUGGGCAACAACUGACGCUGAGGAGCGAAAGCGUGGGGAGCGAACAGG